This 571-nucleotide ribosomal RNA is filed under the name Meyerozyma sp. Its description in RNAcentral is "eukaryotic LSU rRNA". It matches the Rfam family "Eukaryotic large subunit ribosomal RNA", at positions 62 to 649 of the family's 3401-position model. The record is from RNAcentral. Lineage: Eukaryota; Fungi; Ascomycota; Pichiomycetes; Serinales; Debaryomycetaceae.
AAACCAACAGGGAUUGCCUUAGUAGCGGCGAGUGAAGCGGCAAAAGCUCAAAUUUGAAAUCUGGCACCUUCGGUGUCCGAGUUGUAAUUUGAAGAUUGUAACCUUGGGGUUGGCUCUUGUCUAUGUUUCUUGGAACAGGACGUCACAGAGGGUGAGAAUCCCGUGCGAUGAGAUGCCCAAUCCUAUGUAAGGUGCUUUCGAAGAGUCGAGUUGUUUGGGAAUGCAGCUCUAAGUGGGUGGUAAAUUCCAUCUAAAGCUAAAUAUUGGCGAGAGACCGAUAGCGAACAAGUACAGUGAUGGAAAGAUGAAAAGAACUUUGAAAAGAGAGUGAAAAAGUACGUGAAAUUGUUGAAAGGGAAGGGUUUGAGAUCAGACUCGAUAUUUUGUGAGCCUUGCCUUCGUGGCGGGGUGACCCGCAGCUUAUCGGGCCAGCAUCGGUUUGGGCGGUAGGAUAAUGGCGUAGGAAUGUGACUUUGCUUCGGUGAAGUGUUAUAGCCUGCGUUGAUGCUGCCUGCCUAGACCGAGGACUGCGAUUUUAUCAAGGAUGCUGGCAUAAUGAUCCCAAAUCGCC